AGCACCACAACGGGUGGAGCUUGCGGUUUAAUUGGAUUCAACGCCGGAAAUCUUACCGGGACCGACAGCAAUAUGAAGGCCAGGCUGAAGACUUUGCCGGAUUAGCUGAGAGGUGGUGCAUGGCCGUCGUCAGUUCGUACUGUGAAGCAUCCUGUUAAGUCAGGCAACGAGCGAGACCCACGCCCACAGUUGCCAGCGUACUCUCUGGAGUGACGGGUACACUGUGGGGACCGCCGCUGCUAAAGCGGAGGAAGGAAUGGGCAACGGUAGGUCAGUAUGCCCCGAAUAUCCCGGGCUACACGCGAGCUACAAUGGUUGGUACAAUGGGUAUCUACCCGAAAGGGGACGGGAAUCUCCUAAAACCAAUCUUAGUUCGGAUUGGGGGCUGCAACUCGCCCUCAUGAAGCUGGAAUCCGUAGUAAUCGCGUUUCAACAGAACGCGGUGAAUACGUCCCUGCUCCUU
This 463-nucleotide ribosomal RNA is filed under the name uncultured Methanosaeta sp. RNAcentral's name for it is "bacterial SSU rRNA". It matches the Rfam family "Archaeal small subunit ribosomal RNA", at positions 875 to 1338 of the family's 1478-position model. The record is from RNAcentral. Lineage: Archaea; Methanobacteriati; Methanobacteriota; Methanomicrobia; Methanotrichales; Methanotrichaceae.